UGGCUCAGGAUGAACGCUGGCGGCGUGCCUAAUACAUGCAAGUCGAACGGAGGUUGUAGUAAUACAGCCUUAGUGGCGAACGGGUGAGUAACGCGUUGGUGACCUGCCCCGAAGUGUGGGAUAACAGUUCGAAAGGAUUGCUAAUACCUCAUGUGUUCCUCUGGAUUAGAUGCCGGAGGAAUAAAGACGUAAGUCGCUUCGGGAGGGGCCUGCGUCCCAUCAGCUAGUUGGUAGGGUAAUGGCCUACCAAGGCUAUGACGGGUAGGGGACCUGAGAGGGUGGCCCCCCACAAUGGAACUGAAACACGGUCCAUACACCUACGGGUGGCAGCAGUAGGGAAUAUUGGUUAAUGUGCGAAAGCGCGAACCAGCAACGCCGCGUGCACGAUGAAGGCCUUCGGGUUGUAAAGUGCUUUUUGAGGGGAUGAGGAAGGACAGUACCCUCAGAAUAAGUCUCGGCUAACUACGUGCCAGCAGCCGCGGUAACACGUAGGAGACGAGCGUUAUCCGGAUUUACUGGGCGUAAAGCGCGUGCAGGCGGUUCGGAAAGUUGGAUGUGAAAGCUCCCGGCUUAACUGGGAGAGGUCGUUCAAAACUACUGAACUUGAGAGUGGUAGAGGGAGGUGGAAUUCCGGGUGUAGUGGUGAAAUGCGUAGAUAUCCGGAGGAACACCAGUGGCGAAAGCGGNCNNNUGGACCAUUUCUGACGCUCAGACGCGAAAGCUANGGGAGCNNACGGNAUUAGAGANCCCGGUANUCCUANCUGUAAA
Molecule: ribosomal RNA, 768 nt
Filed under: uncultured bacterium
Lineage: Bacteria
Description: bacterial SSU rRNA
Rfam family: Bacterial small subunit ribosomal RNA
Source: RNAcentral